AAGACUUCGGCCUAGACCCUGAGGAAUGUGGGAGCCAUGGAGGGCUGUGGGCAGAGGAGGGAUGGGUCCGGACCCAGGUGCUCACAGGUGCCCCCUGGUGGCUGCUUUGGGGAGAACGGACUAUGGGGGCCAGAGGAGGAGCCAGGAGGGGACUGAGCUGGUCCUAGUGGAAGGAAAGUAGGCAGAUUUGAGAUGGACAUUUUUUUUUUUUUUUUUUUUUUUUGAGACAGGGCCUUGCUCUGUCACCCAAGCUGGAGUGCAGUGGUGCAGUGGUGGGAUCUUGGCUCACUGCAGCCUUGACUGCCCAGGCUCAAGCGAUCCUCCUGCCUCAGCCUCCUGAGUAGCUGGGACUACAGAGACAGGAUUUCACCAUGUUGGACAGGCUGGUCUCCAACUCCUGACCUCAAGUGACCUACCUGCCUCAGCCUCACAAAAUGCCGGGAUUACAGGUGUGAGCCACUGUGCCCAGCUUUUUCUUGUUGUUUUAAAAACAUUGCAGCUGGUCUGUGUUGAUGGGUAAAGAGAGGAAACCAAGGAGGCAGGAGAGAAAAGGGGGAAGGGCUGAAGUAAUGGCUGUGAGUUGAUGAGAAGGACGAGGAGUUGGUGAGGAAAAGAGGUGGCUCAGGCAGCCAAUGUCACAUUGGAAGGUGCCACCUUGGAAGUGGCUCCUUCGGCCCCAGUUGAGCCUUCAGAUGAGGCAGCCCUGGCCGACAGCUUGAUUGCAACUUCAUGAAACACCCAAAGCCAGAAACAUCCAGAUACGCUUGCUGCUCCCAGACUCGUGACCCACAGGAAAGGUAUCUGUCUUCUUUCCUCUGUCUCUGGGGGUUUUCUUGUCUUCUUUAUUUAAGAUGGAGUCUUGCUCUUGUCACCCAGGCUGGAGCGCAAUGGCACACGAUUUCGGCUCACUGCAACCUCUGCCUCUUGGGUUCAAGUGAUUCUCCUGCCUCAGCCUCCUGAGUAGCUGGGAUUACAGGCAUGCACCACCACACCCAGCUAAUUUUUGUAUUUUCAGU
This 1016-nucleotide long non-coding RNA is filed under the name Homo sapiens (human). Its description in RNAcentral is "HSALNT0254593". The record is from RNAcentral. Lineage: Eukaryota; Metazoa; Chordata; Mammalia; Primates; Hominidae.